GCACGGGUAGCUCAGUGGUAGAGCGACUGGUUUACACCCAGUUGGUCGGGGGUUCAAAUCCCUCCCCGUGCA
RNAcentral lists this transfer RNA (72 nucleotides) under Verrucomicrobiales bacterium. RNAcentral describes it as "tRNA-Val". It matches the Rfam family "tRNA". Rfam says of the family: Transfer RNA (tRNA) molecules are approximately 80 nucleotides in length. The record is from RNAcentral. Lineage: Bacteria; Pseudomonadati; Verrucomicrobiota; Verrucomicrobiia; Verrucomicrobiales.